RNAcentral lists this transfer RNA (72 nucleotides) under Camelus bactrianus (Bactrian camel). It matches the Rfam family "tRNA". From Rfam's summary of the family: Transfer RNA (tRNA) molecules are approximately 80 nucleotides in length. Their secondary structure includes four short double-helical elements and three loops (D, anti-codon, and T loops). Lineage: Eukaryota; Metazoa; Chordata; Mammalia; Artiodactyla; Camelidae. The record is from Rfam by way of RNAcentral. RNAcentral also lists the same sequence under 2 other names.
GAAGGUAUAGCUCAGUGGUAGAGCAUAAGCUUAGCUUGCAUGAGGUCCUGGGUUCAAUCCCCAGUAUCUCUG